RNAcentral lists this ribosomal RNA (1616 nucleotides) under metagenome. Its description in RNAcentral is "bacterial LSU rRNA". It matches the Rfam family "Bacterial large subunit ribosomal RNA", at positions 1282 to 2925 of the family's 2925-position model. The record is from RNAcentral.
UAAGAAGAGAGAAUGCCGGAAUGAGUAGCGAGAGAAAGGUGGGAAUCCUUUCGGCCGAAUAUCUAAGGUUUCCAGAGUAAAGCUGAUCUGCUCUGGGUAAGUCGGGGCCUAAGCACAGGUCGCAAGACGUAAGCGAUGGAUAACAGGUUUAGAUUCCUGUACCACGCAUUAUCAGAACUGUAGGGACGCAUGUGGAAAGCACGGGCCGGGAAUGGAAAGACCGGUACAAGCGGGGUAGGUGUACAAUAGGCAAAUCCGUUGUAUAAUCCGAAGACGUGAUGUGGAGCGAAAUAAAGUAGUGAAGCGUGUGAGCCAUGUGCCGAGAAAAGCUGCUAUUGUGUAAUGCGUGCCCGUACCGUAAACCGACACAGGUGGAUGAGGAGAGAAUCCUAAGGCCGGCGGAAGAAGCAUUGUUAAGGAAUUCGGCAAAAUGACCCCGUAACUUCGGGAGAAGGGGUGCCUGCGAGAGCAGGCCGCAGAGAAUAGGCUCAAGCAACUGUUUAGCAAAAACACAGGUCUAUGCGAAACCGAAAGGUGAAGUAUAUGGGCUGACGCCUGCCCGGUGCUGGAAGGUUAAGAGGAGAGGUUAGCUUCGGCGAAGCUUUGAAUUUAAGCCCCAGUAAACGGCGGCCGUAACAAUAACGGUCCUAAGGUAGCGAAAUUCCUUGUCGGGUAAGUUCCGACCCGCACGAAAGGCGUAAUGAUUUGAGCACUGUCUCGACAAUGCAUCCGGUGAAAUUGAAGUACCAGUGAAGAUGCUGGUUACCCGCGCCAGGACGGAAAGACCCCAUGGAGCUUUACUCCAGUUUGAUACUGGGAUUCGGUACUGCAUGUACAGGAUAGGUGGGAGACGAAGAAGGAUGGACGCCAGUCUGUCCGGAGUCGCUGUUGGGAUACCACCCCUGUAGUACUGGGUUUCUAACCAGUUGCCAUGAACUGGCAAUGGGACAAUGUCAGGCGGGGAGUUUGACUGGGGCGGUCGCCUCCGAAAGGGUAUCGGAGGCGCUCAAAGGUUCCCUCAGAAUGGUUGGAAACCAUUUGAAGAGUGCAAAGGCAGAAGGGAGCUUGACUGCGACACCGACGGGUGGAGCAGGUACGAAAGUAGGACUUAGUGAUCCGGUGGUAUAAAGUGGGAUUGCCAUCGCUCAACGGAUAAAAGCUACCCUGGGAUAACAGGCUUAUCACUCCCAAGAGUUCACAUCGACGGAGUGGUUUGGCACCUCGAUGUCGGCUCAUCGCAUCCUGGGGCUGUAGCAGGUCCCAAGGGUUGGGCUGUUCGCCCAUUAAAGCGGUACGCGAGCUGGGUUCAGAACGUCGUGAGACAGUUCGGUCCCUAUCCGGCGCGGGCGGAGGAUAUUUGAGAGGAGCUGUCCUUAGUACGAGAGGACCGGGAUGGACGGACCACUGGUGUAUCUGUUGUCGACCAACGGCAUGGCAGAGUAGCCAAGUCUGGAAGGGAUAAACGCUGAAGGCAUCUAAGCGUGAAGCCCCCCUCAAGAUGAGAUAUCCCUCCUUCGGGAGUAAGACCCCUUGAAGACUACAAGGUAGAUAGGGCAGAGGUGGAAGCAUGGCAACAUGUGGAGCUGACUGUUACUAAUAGGUCGAGGGCUUAAUGA